AUUGAACGCUGGCGGCAGGCCUAACACACGCAAGUCGAGCGGAUGAAGGGAGCUUGCUCCUGGAUUCAGCGGCGGACGGGUGAGUAAUGCCUAGGAAUCUGCCUGGUAGUGGGGGAUAACGUCCGGAAACGGGCGCUAAUACCGCAUACGUCCUGAGGGAGAAAGUGGGGGAUCUUCGGACCUCACGCUAUCAGAUGAGCCUAGGUCGGAUUAGCUAGUUGGUGGGGUAAAGGCCUACCAAGGCGACGAUCCGUAACUGGUCUGAGAGGAUGAUCAGUCGCACUGGAACUGAGACACGGUCCAGACUCCUACGGGAGGCAGCAGUGGGGAAUAUUGGACAAUGGGCGAAAGCCUGAUCCAGCCAUGCCGCGUGUGUGAAGAAGGUCUUCGGAUUGUAAAGCACUUUAAGUUGGGAGGAAGGGCAGUAAGUUAAUACCUUGCUGUUUUGACGUUACCAACAGAAUAAGCACCGGCUAACUUCGUG
Molecule: ribosomal RNA, 484 nt
Filed under: uncultured bacterium
Lineage: Bacteria
Description: partial 16S ribosomal RNA
Rfam family: Bacterial small subunit ribosomal RNA
Source: RNAcentral